UGGGAGGGCUCAUGCCAAUGAAUACUUCCCAGAACUGCUGUCAGUGUCUUUGAGCCACAGCUGCCACCCUGCCCCCCACCUCUGCAGGAGACACUCAAAUAAUACGAGGUUUUGUUGUAGGUGGAAGUCUGUAGCUCAAAAGGAAGUUAUCAAGAUUUUAUGUAAAGAUUUUGUGUUGGUGUAGUCAAACAUGGCAUGAAGACAACGCUAAACCCGAUACUAUGGAGGACAAUUUUUAAUCAGCUUACAGAGAUUUGGCAUUUAUCAUUCUUCCCUUCCUUCCCCCCACUUAAUGGCAUAUAAGGACUUCAAUGGUUAAGAUAUAGCCUUAAGUUGGCCCCUCAGCCACCAGAGAAUUGGAUUGUAUCUCUUAUAAGCAAGGAAGCUGUCCAUGUGGGAAGCAUCACUCCCAUGGGAUAUUUGUAUGACUGUUCAAAUUUAAACAAUAUAUCUGGGGAAA
Molecule: long non-coding RNA, 460 nt
Organism: Balaenoptera acutorostrata (minke whale)
Lineage: Eukaryota; Metazoa; Chordata; Mammalia; Artiodactyla; Balaenopteridae
Exons: 3
Source: RefSeq, a predicted model, not a curated record